AAUCUUUUAGUUUAUUAAAAACAAUGGCUUGUGGCGCCAUAGAUCUAUAUAUUUUUUAUCAAGGAAU
RNAcentral lists this transfer RNA (67 nucleotides) under Argiope ocula. RNAcentral describes it as "tRNA-His". The record is from RNAcentral. Lineage: Eukaryota; Metazoa; Arthropoda; Arachnida; Araneae; Araneidae.